Molecule: ribosomal RNA, 763 nt
Filed under: uncultured Atopostipes sp.
Lineage: Bacteria; Bacillati; Bacillota; Bacilli; Lactobacillales; Carnobacteriaceae
Description: bacterial SSU rRNA
Rfam family: Bacterial small subunit ribosomal RNA
Source: RNAcentral
GAACGGGUGAGUAACACGUGGGGAAUCUGCCUAUAAGUGGGGGAUAACAUUCGGAAACGGAUGCUAAUACCGCAUAUAUUCUUGGACCGCCUGGUCCUUGAAAGAAAGACGGCUUUGCUGUCGCUUAUAGAUGAUCCCGCGGCGUAUUAGUUAGUUGGUGGGGUAAAGGCCUACCAAGACAAUGAUACGUAGCCGACCUGAGAGGGUGAUCGGCCACACUGGGACUGAGACACGGCCCAGACUCCUACGGGAGGCAGCAGUAGGGAAUCUUCCACAAUGGGCGAAAGCCUGAUGGAGCAAUGCCGCGUGAAUGAAGAAGGUCUUCGGAUCGUAAAGUUCUGUUAUUAGAGAAGAACAAGUCAAGGAGUAACUGUCUUGACUUUGACGGUACCUAACCAGAAAGUCACGGCUAACUACGUGCCAGCAGCCGCGGUAAUACGUAGGUGACGAGCGUUGUCCGGAAUUAUUGGGCGCAAAGGGAGCGCAGGCGGUUGGAAUAGUCUGAUGUGAAAGCCCACGGCUUAACCGUGGAAGGUCAUUGGAAACUGUCCAACUUGAAUGCAGAAGAGGAAAGUGGAAUUCCAUGUGUAGCGGUGAAAUGCGUAGAUAUAUGGAGGAACACCAGUGGCGAAGGCGACUUUCUGGUCUGUAAUUGACGCUGAGGCUCGAAAGCGUGGGUAGCGAACAGGAUUAGAUACCCUGGUAGUCCACGCCGUAACGAUGAGUGCUAAGUGUUAGGGGUUUCCGCCCCUUAGUGCUGGAG